Molecule: non-coding RNA, 135 nt
Organism: Triticum urartu
Lineage: Eukaryota; Viridiplantae; Streptophyta; Magnoliopsida; Poales; Poaceae
Source: Rfam
CAUGUACUCCCUCCGUCCGGAAAUACUUCUCGUCAAAAUGGAUAAAAGGGGAUGUAUCUAGAACUAAAAUACGUCUAGAUACAUCCCUUUUUAUCCAUCUUGAUGAUAAGUAUUUCCGGACGGAGGGAGUAUAGU